AUCAAAGUCUCCGUUCCCACAACCUCUUCUAGGCUGAAGCCUUCAGGACUAGAAGCAAACUAGCAAGACUGGCCUAGGGAUGGAGGCUAUGAUAGUGAGAAGUAGCUUUCAGAAUCCAGUCCGUCUUUGAGAUUGUUUUGUUUUGUGGUAGAGGGGAAUCAUUUAUAGACUCUCCAAGUCAUAUCCAAACUGGGCCCGAACACAUAAGCUUGCCUGUAUCCCCUCAAAUCGGUGGGUCUUGGGCCAGGAUGGGAUCAAGUAACACACAAAAAAACCCCUAAAAAAUACAGAAAACCUAGAAAACAUGAACAUACAUGACUUCUCCAAAGUGCUUCCUUCUGAGCCCAGGGGGCAGCGUCUGCAAAUGGGGUCCCAAGUGCAAGGGGCAGGACCCCGGCAGCCGCCUUCACAAUGGCAGCUCAGUCUACCUAUCGCUUAUAAAAAGUAAUAAAUUAGUCGCAGGGAUUUGCUGCUAUUUACAAUGCCACCCUUGUCCCCCAUUCCUGCCCCUACGGCCCCCGAUCUGCACCAGAACACAAAGGAGGUGCUGUCUCCGUCUUCCAGUAAGGACCGAGAUGGCUUCUUGCCUUCCAGGUGUCAUAGUCUGGUGGCUCAGUCUCCAUCCAGAAGUCACUUCAUGGAAAAAAACAUUGCACAAAAAAUAGCCCCACUUCUAGGCCAGGGAGAGGCCAGGUGGGAGGGAUCAGUCCUUCCCGGCAGGUCCAAGGGCUCCCAGCACAGCCUCAGCGCCCUCCACAGCAAUCUGUGGUACAGAGGUGAGCGGCCCGGCGGCCUCCUCUGGAGGCUCAUCGAAGCUCACCUCCUGCACCGCCUCCUGCUUCUUGAAGGAGUCUCGGCGUUCGGACAGGUGUAGCCGCCGCAUGACCACCAGCUCCGAGUCUGGCCCACGGCCGCGGCGCCCCAGCUCCCCAUCCAGCCGUUCACCUGAACCCAGCUUGUCAGCUGACUGGCCCCGGCGCAACCGUGGAGACCGGACCUAUCACCUCAAUGCGCCAAAGAUACACACCCACAUCUGCCUCUGCUCACCUCUCUACCUCAAGCCUCAGCCAUAGAGGAUGCCUGGUCUGAGGAAAGUAAAGAUGGCAGAUACGCUCUGCCCCAUGAAGUCAGGGUGAGAGACCUGAUGCUUCAGAACCCACGCCCCCAGCAGCCAACGGAGCUGUGCCACGGGUCCUCCACCAACACUCCAGGGAGGGCCCACCCUGCCUCACCGGUCCUGGGUCUCCCGCCGGCGGCUCCGCUUGCUCCUGCGUGCCAUGCGGCCCUUGGCCACAUUCUUCCGGGCGGGGCCCACCUUGAUGGAGGUGUUCUCCAGGGCUGUGGUCCGCAGGGCGAUCUUGUUGCCACUCUAUGGGAGGGAUGGUGAGGAGUCACCUGGGGGCCUCCCAUCUAGUGAGCCACCCACCCACCUACCCACCUCCCUCCUCCUCCAUCAAAGCCCCAGAUCCUAUCCAUCCACAAAUGACCCAUCACCCACUGGGCCAAAAAUACAACAUCCACCAUCUGUCCACCCGUGCAAUGAGCUGCCCACCCACCCACCGGUCCUAGGAGAUGUCCAAAUAAGGCCCUGCCUCCUGGCCUGCAACCCCCAGGCCUCUGCCCCCCGAGGUCCCCUGGUCUGAGGAAGACGAAGAUAGUAUGAAUAUCCCCGGCCUCCUAAGGUUGGGGUGAGCCACAGGGAGGGCCAAGAGUCGGCGCACCCAGGGGGCAAAGAAGAAGGAAUAUCCUGGGCAUAGGGGAGGUGACAUGCAAGGCCUGGAGGUGGGACCAAGUGUGGAAAUGUGUGGUUCCACAGGGAGAACCACAGAAUUGGGAGCUGCCAAGGGGUCACAGGAGCAAACCAGAGGGUAGGCAGUGGGGGCAGAUCUGGGGGCCCUGAGGCGUGGGGGUUCUGGGAGCCCCAGGAAAGGCAGUGGGGAUACUGUACCUUCAGCAGCAGCUCAACGACGUCCAUGUGCACCAGCCCCAGGACCGACUCCCCGUUGAUGUGGGUGAUGAGGUCCCCGGCUCGCAGGCCCGCCUCCUGGGCAGGGCUUCCCUCCUCCACGCUCUGGCAGUGGGGAUGGGGUGGGAGGAGCUGUGAGGUCUGGGACCCCACAGCCGGAGACCCCAUGCCAUCUGGUUCAGCUGUGGGACCCCAGCAACCAGAUGCCGCCCAUGCUGUUUCCCUGACCUUGGGGGCUGUUCAGAGAGUGACUGGCAGGGAGGGAAGAGGCUCUGGGCUCAGGGGAGGCGGGACGACAUUCCCACUGUGCACCUGUGGGUAUGGGAUGGGAGCUUCAUGCCGGACUGAGGUCUCUACCCCUCUGUCCAUCCCUGUGUGUCUCACCCGACCUCCUCCCCAUAAGAAAGAGGGACUGCAAAGACUCAGGUGCCACCAGUUCCCUGCCUUGGGCUCUAGAACCUCGCAGGCAAGAAGUUUGCACUCCUAAGACUAGAAAGUAAAAGCGCCUUGCCAGGGUGAAGCUGGACUCAAGCCAGGUCCUGCUGUUCCUGCUCACCCAGACAACGUGGUGCACAGUGUAGACAUCGCUGUCACCCAUGUAGACACGGAUUGCCCGCAGGCUGAAGCCGUACUUCUUGCCUGAGCUAUGGAUGACAAUGGGGGGCCGCAGGCUGCCACACACGGGGGACGGGUCUCGGCUUGGAGAGGAGUCUCGGGAUGACGGGUUCGAGGACAGCGAGCGUGGGGACAGAGGGCUCAUGAGGGGGCCGCCGCUGCCAUCAUCUGCAGGACCAGGGUUGGGAGGGGGUCACUCCCUUGUAGGGACAAAGGUUGGGCGGGCACCUCUCCCCAACCCUCCCACUGAGCUGACCCCUCUGGCUGUGCUGCUGCUGCUCCAAUGCCCCAAGCACGGUCCCCCCACCUCUCCCUGGGUCUAGCUCCUUCUGUUGGAUGGUAGGCCCCAACCGGUGGUUAAAAUAGACAUGGACAGACAAGCAAAGACAAGGCUGGGUGACAUGUGGUACCGGCUGUGAUGAUGAGCGACAAGGCGGACACUGACGCUGACUUGGGCACGCGGCCCCCGCUGGGGGAGGUCCGAGACUUCUCAGGAGCUGGGUCUCUUGGGCCCCCAAGGCGGCGGCCCCGACCAGCAUCCAGGGCCCGUGGUGUUGAGUGUCGGGCACCAGUGCUGUUGCUUCGUAGGCGUGCGUGGCUGAGGGCGGCUGUGUCAGCUAGGGGUCAGCAGGGGUGGGGUUCAGCCUGGCCAACCUCACCACUGAGGAGGCGAAGCCCCUUCCUCCCCAGUCACUGGGCACACCGUUCAGCCUCCUGGCCUUUCUUCAGGCAGCUCCCUCUCCCCCUACUUCCUUCCUGCGCUGCUCUUCCUGGAAAGCUCCACUCUUCAAGUCCCCUCCUCUUAAGAAGCCUUCCCCCACCCAUCAGACCCCUAUGCCUCUCUUCGAAGUCCCCAGCCUCAUCUCCCUCUCCAGUCCCAUCUUGAUCCAGUGAACUGGGGUUAUCACCCCAAGCCUGGGAGUAAAGUUGAGGCCCAAGGCCUCUUGGGACCCCUGGCCUCUUUAAUCUUAAAACCUUUAUUAGACAAGUGAAUGGUCUCUCUGGAGAGCUCCCACUUCAAAACCCAUCUCAAAUAGUCCCUCCUCUGGGAAACCUUUUACUAUAGUAUCCCUCCCACUUGGACCUCACCUACCAGAAAGGCUUGAGGGCUUGGGCAUCACUGGGGUGGCUGCUGGGGGCGGAUCAGGCUCGCCCAGAAUGAAGAUGGGCCUCUUGGGGCCCGAAGAGGCUGGGCUGACUCCCUCAUCCUCUGACGAGAAGGCAAACUUGGGCAUUGUGUCCAGGCUAAUAGUAUUCAAGAGGGAUGGGCUGGGGCCCCGCUCAGGCUGGGAAGAGGACGAUUGGCAGGAAGAACCAGAUGUCCAGGAUCUCAGUCUGUGGCAGGGAAGAGCCAAAGUCGCAUGUGCCAGGUACCCUCGCCCCGGGACACCCAAUCACCCCUAGUGGCCAUGUUUUAACUCUCAGCUUAGAAACAGAGGUAAUUUGUAAAUGCGGACUGAGGUCCUUCUGUGUGCUGGGUCCUUGGUCUGCCCGGAGAAUUUCUAUCUGUCUUUUAAAAGCCAGCUUCCAACACUCAUCCUUUAGCAGACAUGGAUUAUUUUUCUGUCGAGUCUGGUCUUUGAAGAAUGAACAGGAGUUUGUCAGCAAAGGGUACUCUGGCAGAGGGAAGAGUGCGAGCAAAAGCCUAGCAGUAUGACGGUGCAUAGCCGCUCUAUGCUCCGUGUGGUUAGGGACGCAAAGCCAGGGGGCCACGUUGGCAGGGCUCUGACCCACUGGCCCAUGUGUCUGACCCUUUGCUCCUGGGGCACUGGGAAGCUUUCUCCCAUGUUAGAUCCUGUGGUUCCACCUCCCAGCAGGCUUGGAAGCUGGAUCUGCUCACAUUCCCCGGUCCACCUACCGGAUCUCCAUGCUCAUGCGGCGGCCACACUCGCCCUCGCCGCUACGCUCCCAGCCUUCCUCCCGGUCCUCACUGAAGCUCCGUUCGGCGAAGGUGGGCGUUGGCUGGGCAGCCAGGAACUCGGAGCUGCUGUAGACCUGGCAGCAAGAGAUGACAGUAAGGACAGGGAGGCAGGCAGCCACACCCCUGGGGAAGAGCCGGCUUCGCUGGGUGCUUCCCUGUGAGUCACUUCCUUCAACCCAUACUUACCACAUCCCUAAAAACAGCAGGGUCUUUGGCCCACUGUACAGAUGGGGACACUAAGGCUCAGAGAGGCCCUGCUACCAAGAGAAUAAUUAACUCGGCCAUAAAAAGGAACGAGGCUCUGGGACGCCUGGGUGGCUCAGCCAUUGAGUGUCUGCCUUUGGCUCAGGGCAUGAUGACGGGGUCUGGGAUCAAGUCUCGCAUUGGGUUCUUCCCAGGGAGCCUGCUUCUCCCUCUGCCUAUGUCUCUGCCUUUCUCUGUGUUUCUCAGGGAUGAAUAAAUAAAGUCUUCAAAAAAAAAAGGAACCAGGCUCUGACACAGGCUACACUGU
This is a long non-coding RNA of Canis lupus familiaris (dog), 5013 nucleotides long. RefSeq lists it as uncharacterized. The transcript is spliced from 3 exons. NCBI's taxonomy places the organism in Eukaryota, Metazoa, Chordata, Mammalia, Carnivora, Canidae. The record is from RefSeq and is a predicted model, not a curated record.